Molecule: long non-coding RNA, 242 nt
Filed under: Elaeis guineensis (African oil palm)
Lineage: Eukaryota; Viridiplantae; Streptophyta; Magnoliopsida; Arecales; Arecaceae
Description: long non-coding RNA (EGUI_LNC046614)
Source: RNAcentral
CCUGGUAGUGGGCCGUUCAGAGCCGUCUGGAGUUUGUUACAGAGAGUAGUGGCGUCAGGGGUCGUUCAGAACCAUGUGGAGUUUGCUACAGAGAGUAGAGUGGUGUCCGUUGUCGUGACUUGGCAGAGAGUAGUGGAGCCAUGCGGAAUCCACUAUAGAGAGUGGAGUAGGGUAAUGGCUAUUAUCAUGACUUGCCAGAUAGUUUGGAUCUAUCGGCUGAAGCUCGGCUGGGACAUCUGACA